This 403-nucleotide ribosomal RNA is filed under the name Fusobacteriota bacterium. Its description in RNAcentral is "Fusobacteria bacterium partial 16S ribosomal RNA". It matches the Rfam family "Bacterial small subunit ribosomal RNA", at positions 355 to 776 of the family's 1533-position model. Lineage: Bacteria; Fusobacteriati; Fusobacteriota. The record is from RNAcentral.
UGGGGAAUAUUGCACAAUGGAGGGAACUCUGAUGCAGCGACGCCGCGUGAGUGAUGAAGGAAUUCGUUUCGUAAAACUCUGUUCUAUGGGAAGAAAAGGACUGUACCAUAGGAGAAAGCUCCGGCUAAAUACGUGCCAGCAGCCGCGGUAAUACGUAUGGAGCGAGCGUUGUCCGGAAUUAUUGGGCGUAAAGGGUGCGCAGGCGGCUUUACAAGUUGGAUGUGAAAUAUUGUGGCUCAACCACAAACGUGCAUCCAAAACUGCAAAGCUUGGUUUAAGGAGGGGUAGGGGGAUUUCCUGGUGAGGCGGUGAAAUCCGUGAAAAACAGAAGGAAUACGGGUGGGGAAGCCGACUUACUGACUUAAACUGACGCUCAGGCACGAAAGCGUGGGGAGCAAACAGG